GGGUUGUCAUGCCAAUGGCACUGCCCGGUAGCUAAAUGCGGAAGAGAUAAGUGCUGAAAGCAUCUAAGCACGAAACUUGCCCCGAGAUGAGUUCUCCCUGAGACUUUAAGUCUCCUGAAGGAACGUUGAAGACGACGACGUUGAUAGGCCGGGUGUGUAAGCGCAGUGAUGCGUUGAGCUAACCGGUACUAAUGAACCGUGAGGCUUAACCUU
This 213-nucleotide ribosomal RNA is filed under the name Klebsiella pneumoniae. RNAcentral describes it as "partial 23S ribosomal RNA". It matches the Rfam family "Bacterial large subunit ribosomal RNA", at positions 2718 to 2925 of the family's 2925-position model. The record is from RNAcentral. Lineage: Bacteria; Pseudomonadati; Pseudomonadota; Gammaproteobacteria; Enterobacterales; Enterobacteriaceae.